This 460-nucleotide ribosomal RNA is filed under the name uncultured bacterium. Its description in RNAcentral is "partial 16S ribosomal RNA". It matches the Rfam family "Bacterial small subunit ribosomal RNA", at positions 338 to 795 of the family's 1533-position model. The record is from RNAcentral.
CCUACGGGGGGCAGCAGUGAGGAAUAUUGGUCAAUGGACGAGAGUCUGAACCAGCCAAGUAGCGUGAAGGAUGACUGCCCGAUGGGUUGUAAACUUCUUUUAUAUGGGAAUAAAAUGUUCCACGUGUGGGAUUUUGUAUGUACCAUAUGAAUAAGGAUCGGCUAACUCCGUGCCAGCAGCCGCGGUAAUACGGAGGAUCCGAGCGUUAUCCGGAUUUAUUGGGUUUAAAGGGAGCGUAGGUGGAUUGUUAAGUCAGUUGUGAAAGUUUGCGGCUCAACCGUAAAAUUGCAGUUGAAACUGGCAGUCUUGAGUACAGUAGCGGUGGGCGGAAUUCGUGGUGUAGCGGUGAAAUGCUUAGAUAUCACGAAGAACUCCGAUUGCGAAGGCAGUUCACUGGACUGCAACUGACACUGAGGCUCGAAAGUGUGGGUAUCAAACAGGAUUAGAUACCCCAGUAGUC